CCUACGGGUGGCAGCAGUGGGGAAUAUUGCACAAUGGGGGAAACCCUGAUGCAGCGACGCCGCGUGAGUGAAGAAGUAUUUCGGUAUGUAAAGCUCUAUCAGCAGGGAAGAAAAUGACGGUACCUGACUACGAAGCCCUGGCUAACUACGUGCCAGCAGCCGCGGUAAUACGUAGGGGGCAAGCGUUAUCCGGAUUUACUGGGUGUAAAGGGAGCGUAGAUGGCCAGACAAGUCAGGAGUGAAAGCCCAGGGGCAAACCCGGGGACUGCUUUUGAAACUGCCGGGCUGGAGUGGAGGAGAGGUAAGCGGAAUGCCCGGUGUAGCGGUGAAAUGCGUAGAUAUUAGGAGGAACACCAGUGGCGAAGGCGGCUUACUGGACUGUAACUGACGUUGAGGCUCGAAAGCGUGGGGAGCAAACAGGAUUAGAUACCCCAGUAGUC
Molecule: ribosomal RNA, 440 nt
Filed under: uncultured bacterium
Lineage: Bacteria
Description: partial 16S ribosomal RNA
Rfam family: Bacterial small subunit ribosomal RNA
Source: RNAcentral